This 422-nucleotide ribosomal RNA is filed under the name uncultured prokaryote. Its description in RNAcentral is "bacterial SSU rRNA". It matches the Rfam family "Bacterial small subunit ribosomal RNA", at positions 355 to 774 of the family's 1533-position model. The record is from RNAcentral.
UGAGGAAUAUUGGUCAAUGGGCGCAAGCCUGAACCAGCCAUCCCGCGUGAAGGAAGAAGGCGCUAUGCGUUGUAAACUUCUUUUCCAGGGGGCGAACGUUCCGUACGUGUACGGGAGUGACGGUACCCUGGGAAUAAGCAUCGGCUAACUCCGUGCCAGCAGCCGCGGUAAUACGGAGGUUGCGAGCGUUAUCCGGAUUUAUUGGGUUUAAAGGGUGCGUAGGCGGAUUAAUAAGUCAGUGGUGAAAGCCUGCAGCUUAACUGGGGAACUGCCGUUGAUACUGUUAGUCUUGAGUAUGGUCGAGGUAGGCGGAAUGUGUAGUGUAGCGGUGAAAUGCUUAGAUAUUACGCAGAACACCGAUUGCGAAGGCAGCUUACUGGGCCGUUACUGACGCUGAUGCACGAAAGCGUGGGGAUCGAACA